UAGAGUUUGAUCCUGGCUCAGAACGAACGCUGGCGGCGCGUCUUAAGCAUGCAAGUCGAGCGGCAGGGUGCAGCGAUGUAUCCGAGAGCGGCGGACUGGUGAGUAACGCGUGGGUGACCUGCCUUGAGGCUGGGGAUAGCCGCUAGAAAUAGCGGGUAAUACCGAAUACGCCCACCGGACUAUGGUCUGGUGAGGAAAGGGGCUAAGGCCCCGCCUUGAGAUGGGCCCGCGUCCUAUUAGGUAGUUGGCGGGGUAAGAGCCCACCAAGCCUGAGAUAGGUAGCCGGCCUGAGAGGGUGAACGGCCACAUUGGGACUGAGAUACGGCCCAAACUCCUACGGGAGGCAGCAGCUAAGAAUAUUCCGCAAUGGACGAAAGUCUGACGGAGCGACGCCGCGUGGAUGAGGAAGGCCGAAAGGUUGUAAAGUCCUUUUGCGGACGAAGAAUAAGCGCGGUAAGGAAUGACCGCGUGAUGACGCUAGUCCGUGAAUAAGCCCCGGCUAAUUACGUGCCAGCAGCCGCGGUAACACGUAAGGGGCGAGCGUUGUUCGGAAUUAUUGCGCGUAAAGGGCGCGUAGGCGGUUACGUAAGUCUGGCGUGAAAGGCGUGAGCUUAACUCACGGACUGCGCUGGAAACUGGGUGACUUGGGUCAUGGAGGGGUAGUUGGAAUUCCUGGUGUAGGGGUGAA
Molecule: ribosomal RNA, 688 nt
Filed under: uncultured bacterium
Lineage: Bacteria
Description: bacterial SSU rRNA
Rfam family: Bacterial small subunit ribosomal RNA
Source: RNAcentral